GACGAACGCUGGCGGCGUGCUUAACACAUGCAAGUCGAACGGAAAGGCCCUGCUUUUGUGGGGUGCUCGAGUGGCGAACGGGUGAGUAACACGUGAGUAACCUGCCCUUGACUUUGGGAUAACUUCAGGAAACUGGGGCUAAUACCGGAUAGGAGCUCCUGCUGCAUGGCGGGGGUUGGAAAGUUUCGGCGGUUGGGGAUGGACUCGCGGCUUAUCAGCUUGUUGGUGGGGUAGUGGCUUACCAAGGCUUUGACGGGUAGCCGGCCUGAGAGGGUGACCGGCCACAUUGGGACUGAGAUACGGCCCAGACUCCUACGGGAGGCAGCAGUGGGGAAUAUUGCACAAUGGGCGGAAGCCUGAUGCAGCAACGCCGCGUGCGGGAUGACGGCCUUCGGGUAGUAAACCGCUUUAGCCUGUGACGAAGCGUGAGUGACGGUAAUGGGUAAAGAAGCACCGGCUAACUACGUG
RNAcentral lists this ribosomal RNA (468 nucleotides) under uncultured bacterium. RNAcentral's name for it is "partial 16S ribosomal RNA". It matches the Rfam family "Bacterial small subunit ribosomal RNA", at positions 28 to 507 of the family's 1533-position model. The record is from RNAcentral.